GCAUUGAUGGUGUAGCGGUAACAUGCGGUCUUCCCAUUUUUCUCAAUGCUUUAAUUGGCCGCGCUCCGGGUUCGACUCCCGGUCAAUGCA
This is a non-coding RNA of Hygrophoropsis aurantiaca, 90 nucleotides long. The record is from the annotation of a GenBank genome assembly. Lineage: Eukaryota; Fungi; Basidiomycota; Agaricomycetes; Boletales; Hygrophoropsidaceae.